GGGGAAUUUUCCGCAAUGGGCGAAAGCCUGACGGAGCAAGACCGCGUGGGGGAUGAAGGUUUGUGGAUUGUAAACCCCCUUUGAUUGGGAAGAAUACUGACGGUACCAAUCGAAUAAGCCUCGGCUAACUCCGUGCCAGCAGCCGCGGUAAUANCGGAGGAGGCAAGCGUUAUCCGGAAUUAUUGGGCGUAAAGCGUCCGUAGGUGGUUUAGUAAGNCUGCUGUUAAAGCGCGGGGCUUAACUCCGUAUCGGCAGUGGAAACUACNAGACNAGAGUGUGGNAGGGGNAGAGGGAAUGCCCAGUGUAGCGGUGAAAUGCGNAGANAUNAAGGAAGAACACCGGUGGCGAAAGCGCGACUACUGGGCCANAACUGACACUGAUGGACGAAAGCNAAGGGGAGCGAAAGGGAUUAGAGACCCC
This 420-nucleotide ribosomal RNA is filed under the name uncultured cyanobacterium. RNAcentral's name for it is "partial 16S ribosomal RNA". It matches the Rfam family "Bacterial small subunit ribosomal RNA", at positions 356 to 788 of the family's 1533-position model. Lineage: Bacteria; Bacillati; Cyanobacteriota. The record is from RNAcentral.